UUAAAGGAGGGUAGUAUACCUGACAUAAUACUAACUUCACAGUUUAGCUAGCAAACAAGGUAACCAAAGAUUUUGGUUCAGCCACCACUCAAGUCAUUUGACUGUAAGUAUCACUUUCAUCUACUGUAUAUAGUCAACAACGAUUAAAGCUAAAAUCAAGAAAAUCGAACUUGACCUUUAUUAAAUCAUAGGAAACAACAUAUUUAAAAAGAGUUCGUCAAAGCAUGUUCAAAGUAUUGCACGGUUAAUAGCUGACUAAUUUUUUCUUGUAUUUAACUAUUUUUUCCCUUGCUUUUUAUAACAGUGAAACAUAUUUUAAACAAUUGAUAAUCGUUUUUGCAUGGAACAUUCAGGAAUUCAAUAUGCUCUUCGUUAAAGAGAAAAGAGAGAAAGUGAUCAAAUUCAAUUUGCUGCAACCACGGCGUUGAAGUUAAAAGAUGUGAUUUUGGCGACGUGUUUGUUUGAAAGGGUUAUUAGAUUAUGACUUUAAUUUUAUAAUUAUAAUUAUUAAUGAAAUCAAUAUCAUUCCCGGCCGAUUGCUAUAAAUGUCUGCUUUGUAUUCCCUAUUUUGACCUUUCCUCCAUGUUGUCUGUGACAUUCUCAUUUCCUUGUAGUUACUUGUUUGGGAAUCUGCAAUAUGUUGUUACAUUUUUUAAAUGUCUACCUAAUAUUAAACUUCACGUAAAUAAUUUAGAUAUAUAUUGUACUAUUUAAAGUUAAAAUUCUUAUGCAUCUCGAGUCUUAUUUUAAUUUGUUAACGACAAUUUUGAGAUUCUGUUAAGAUAAUGAUAUUGUACGACAUGUAACUACAAUAAAUACUAACACGUCAUGUCUAAACAAAAACUGAAUUUCAUGCGUCCAAGGCGGGUUUUCUAAAUUUACCAUCAUUAGGAAUUUGAAAAGGUAAAAGAAACAUAUGUAGAAAUAAUUACAUAACAAUGAUACACCUGAUUAUGCACUCUAUGAAAAAGGUAAAAUAACAAAAAUACUGAACUCCGACGAAAAAUUCAAAACGAAAAGUCCCUAAUCAAAUGGCAAUAUCAAAAAGAUAAAUCAUAUCAAGCGAAUGGACAACAACUGUCAUUUUUCCGACUUGGUACAGAUUUUUUUUUGUGUGUAGAAAUUGGUGGAUUUAACCUGGUUUUAUAUAUCUAAACCUCUCACUUGAAUGACAUACUGUUCCAUGUAUAAUUUGAAACCCGAGUGUGACAAGCUUAUGUAUCUAACAAAGUAUUCGGGUAUGGUCGGCGUUAAAAUUCUGGCUUAUCUAGUAUAUAAAAGACAAGAGAAAACGGUCGCAGGGUUUUCUACAAAUUUGCAAGCAACCUUGGCUUGUUAAAUUACAACUGCAACUCGAAAAAAACAAUCAUUUAUCUCUUUUAAUAUCUGAAAUAGUACAGAUUGAUUUCUUCCCAUAUAGGUAAAUAUUUGCAUGGAAAACACAUGUAUACAAUCGGGGAAAAACCUUCUAAAAUUUGUCUUAAAUUAAAAUCAUCAAAAUCUUUAAUCUUCUCUAUAGAUUUUUCUAAAAAAAACUAUAUGUUGUUGAUACAUGCAUUUCUGUUUUAAUGAUAUAAAAUAAUCAUAUGGUCACCGACUUCGUUUUUUGUCUAAUGAUUUAUUUGUUUCCUUUUUGUAGUAAAAACGUCAAAAAUCAACGUUUUAUGGCGUCCGGUCCAACAUUAGUGACUCUAAUUACGACGUGGUUGUUGUUUGUCCAACGUCCAUUGGCAGAGGCAAAUAAAGUGAUAUUAUUAGUAACUACAGAUGUUUAAGGGAUAAUAUGUUGUAUACGCCAAUGCGAAAGCAACCAAACGACCAAGCAUCACAAAUCACCAAAAGACAUUUAGAGGUAGUGCAGUCUUCAAGGUAAAACAGUUGUCUUGAGAAAUGAAGAUUUUUAUGUGACAAGUUUUUCACUCCUUCUUAAUCUUGAUACGUCGACUUACAAAGGAAACAUAGAAGACAAUACAAUAAAAAAAGGUGACAGUCCGUUUGCAUCAAAUCUUGUUUUAUAAAAGUAUUGAUUCCGCCAAAGUUAAGGAAUUUCAUUUAUCUGUACACAUAUCUAUCAUAUAAGUAUUUUUUAAUAAAAGAGGAU
Molecule: long non-coding RNA, 2101 nt
Filed under: Mytilus galloprovincialis (Mediterranean mussel)
Lineage: Eukaryota; Metazoa; Mollusca; Bivalvia; Mytilida; Mytilidae
Source: RNAcentral